GCCGAAGUAAACUACAUUUCUGAAGAUACAACAAUCUCUUGUGAAUGUAUGAAAAAAUUACUACAUACUACAGAAAUAAAACUUAAGAGGUUGUGAGUGCAUUGACAACAUGUCAUAAUCUGCUUUAAUACUAAAA
Etheostoma spectabile (orangethroat darter) is the source of this 136-nucleotide long non-coding RNA. RefSeq lists it as uncharacterized. The record is from RefSeq and is a predicted model, not a curated record. The transcript is spliced from 3 exons. Lineage: Eukaryota; Metazoa; Chordata; Actinopteri; Perciformes; Percidae.